GAAUGUUAUCACGGGAGACACACGGCGGGUGCUAACGUCCGUCGUGAAGAGGGAAACAACCCAGACCGCCAGCUAAGGUCCCAAAGUCAUGGUUAAGUGGGAAACGAUGUGGGAAGGCACAGACAGCCAGGAUGUUGGCUUAGAAGCAGCCAUCAUUUAAAGAAAGCGUAAUAGCUCACUGGUCGAGUCGGCCUGCGCGGAAGAUGUAACGGGGCUAAACCAUGCACCGAAGCUGCGGCAGCGACACUAUGUGUUGUUGGGUAGGGGAGCG
This 271-nucleotide ribosomal RNA is filed under the name Klebsiella pneumoniae. RNAcentral's name for it is "partial 23S ribosomal RNA". It matches the Rfam family "Bacterial large subunit ribosomal RNA", at positions 967 to 1238 of the family's 2925-position model. Lineage: Bacteria; Pseudomonadati; Pseudomonadota; Gammaproteobacteria; Enterobacterales; Enterobacteriaceae. The record is from RNAcentral. RNAcentral also lists the same sequence under 1 other name.